This 357-nucleotide ribosomal RNA is filed under the name uncultured bacterium. RNAcentral describes it as "bacterial SSU rRNA". It matches the Rfam family "Bacterial small subunit ribosomal RNA", at positions 29 to 372 of the family's 1533-position model. The record is from RNAcentral.
AGCGAACGCUGGCGGCGUGCCUAACACAUGCAAGUCGAACGUGAAAAGGGGCAACCCUGAGUAAAGUGGCGUACGGGUGAGUAACACGUAGGUAAUCUACCCUAAAGUCUGGAAUAACCGGCCGAAAGGCUGGCUAAUACUGGAUAGAGCGACGGAAUCCGUAAUUGGGUUUUUCGGGAAAGGGAGGCAGCAAUGCCCUUCGCUUUAGGAUGAGCCUGCGUCCCAUCAGGUAGUUGGCAGGGUAACGGCCUACCAAGCCUAUGACGGGUAGCUGGUCUGAGAGGAUGAUCAGCCACACUGGAACUGAAACACGGUCCAGACUCCUACGGGAGGCAGCAGUGGGGAAUCUUGCGCAAU